Molecule: long non-coding RNA, 429 nt
Organism: Helianthus annuus (common sunflower)
Lineage: Eukaryota; Viridiplantae; Streptophyta; Magnoliopsida; Asterales; Asteraceae
Exons: 3
Source: RefSeq, a predicted model, not a curated record
AGUGUGUAUGUGUGUGUGUCGAUCCCCAGGUGACCAAACAAGGGGAAACCCUAGUUCUUCCUUAAAUCACCAAAUUGGAAGGGAAAUCCGAGCUUAAAUUCAUGAAUAAACGCGUAUAAACGAUCACCAAGUCAUGGAGAUCACAAGUUUGAUCUCGUCAAGCUAAGUGGAAGCUGGAAAGGAAUGGAUCAAACGGGUCAACUGCGCAAGGAAAGCUCGAACGGACGCAAACUGUGAUGUUCGUCUCAUUUCGGACCCCGAUCAAGGAAGAAUUCAAGAACCGGACACAAAGUUUUGAAGCUUCUGCGCUAAUCUAAUCUUGUUUUAGACAAUGUUUAUUUGUAAACACUAAACUCAAUGUUGUAUGUUUUAACUAGUUAGUUUGUAAACUAAAAUACCAUAACCAUGUAAACUUAGUUUUUAUAACUA